This 465-nucleotide ribosomal RNA is filed under the name uncultured Klebsiella sp. RNAcentral describes it as "bacterial SSU rRNA". It matches the Rfam family "Bacterial small subunit ribosomal RNA", at positions 338 to 795 of the family's 1533-position model. The record is from RNAcentral. Lineage: Bacteria; Pseudomonadati; Pseudomonadota; Gammaproteobacteria; Enterobacterales; Enterobacteriaceae.
CCUACGGGGGGCUGCAGUGGGGAAUAUUGCACAAUGGGCGCAAGCCUGAUGCAGCCAUGCCGCGUGUGUGAAGAAGGCCUUCGGGUUGUAAAGCACUUUCAGCGGGGAGGAAGGCGUUAAGGUUAAUAACCUUGGCGAUUGACGUUACCCGCAGAAGAAGCACCGGCUAACUCCGUGCCAGCAGCCGCGGUAAUACGGAGGGUGCAAGCGUUAAUCGGAAUUACUGGGCGUAAAGCGCACGCAGGCGGUCUGUCAAGUCGGAUGUGAAAUCCCCGGGCUCAACCUGGGAACUGCAUUCGAAACUGGCAGGCUAGAGUCUUGUAGAGGGGGGUAGAAUUCCAGGUGUAGCGGUGAAAUGCGUAGAGAUCUGGAGGAAUACCGGUGGCGAAGGCGGCCCCCUGGACAAAGACUGACGCUCAGGUGCGAAAGCGUGGGGAGCAAACAGGGUUAGAUACCCUGGUAGUC